RNAcentral lists this unclassified non-coding RNA (542 nucleotides) under Hevea brasiliensis (rubber tree). The record is from RNAcentral. Lineage: Eukaryota; Viridiplantae; Streptophyta; Magnoliopsida; Malpighiales; Euphorbiaceae.
AGUUACACGACCAGAUGUCAAAGGAGCCAAGAAAGCUGCAAAUCUCUGAUCCGGGUCUUUUAUUGCACUCAGAUAUUUUCCAUCUGAUGAAACAUCAGCAACUGAAUUCAACAGAUUCUCUCUGGGUAUUCUCAGAUUGUUAAACCAGAUUCGACCAUUAUCAACACCAUUUAAACCAAUUUUAUGACCACAGUCAGCUAUACGGAUGUUAGGGCAUAUGUUUCCAUCUGCAUCCCUGAUCUGAGCUAUAAACGCAUGGACUCCUUGAUUUGAUCCAUUUAUAUUGAGCUGAGAAAAGACUAUUGUGUGUGUCGCAUGAUUUGCAGCCCCGCCGAUCCAAUACUUCUGAGCUGAUUCACAAGGAGUGUUGAUGACAAACUCCCCAGUUUUCGAAUCAUAAACAGUCAGAGUUUCAAUUCCUCUGACAUUACUUCCAUGACCCAAUUCUGACAUAGCAAAGCAACCCUUGAUUGCAUAAGUUUCAGUGUCCCUCAGCCACUUGUCAUGAUGGAGCUCUGUGCCAAAAAACUUGAUAGCACCAC